UGCCCCGUGGUCCAGUGGUUAAGACUCUGCCUUUCAAUGCAGAGGGUGUGGGUUCAAUCCCUAGUUGGGCAA
RNAcentral lists this transfer RNA (72 nucleotides) under Ovis aries (sheep). It matches the Rfam family "tRNA". From Rfam's summary of the family: Transfer RNA (tRNA) molecules are approximately 80 nucleotides in length. Their secondary structure includes four short double-helical elements and three loops (D, anti-codon, and T loops). Lineage: Eukaryota; Metazoa; Chordata; Mammalia; Artiodactyla; Bovidae. The record is from Rfam by way of RNAcentral.